UGGGUGACCUGCCCUCAGCUCUGGGAUAAGCCCGGGAAACUGGGUCUAAUACUGGAUAUGACCUCUCAUCGCAUGGUGGGUGGUGGAAAGUUUUUCGGCUGGGGAUGGGCCCGCGGCCUAUCAGCUUGUUGGUGGGGUGAUGGCCUACCAAGGCGACGACGGGUAGCCGGCCUGAGAGGGCGACCGGCCACACUGGGACUGAGACACGGCCCAGACUCCUACGGGAG
Molecule: ribosomal RNA, 227 nt
Filed under: uncultured bacterium
Lineage: Bacteria
Description: partial 16S ribosomal RNA
Rfam family: Bacterial small subunit ribosomal RNA
Source: RNAcentral